This 653-nucleotide ribosomal RNA is filed under the name Illeis koebelei. RNAcentral describes it as "16S ribosomal RNA". It matches the Rfam family "Bacterial large subunit ribosomal RNA", at positions 1691 to 2700 of the family's 2925-position model. Lineage: Eukaryota; Metazoa; Arthropoda; Insecta; Coleoptera; Coccinellidae. The record is from RNAcentral.
AAAGUAAGGUUAGAUAAAGGAAUUCGGCAAAUAUAUUUUUCACCUGUUUAUUAAAAACAUCUCUUUUUGAUAAUAAUUUAAAGUAGGGCCUGCCCACUGAGUAUUUGAAGGGCCGCAGUAUUUUGACUGUGCAAAGGUAGCAUAAUCAUUAGUUUUUUAAUUGAAAGCUUGUAUGAAUGGUUUGAUGAGAAAAUAGCUUUCUAUAUCUAAAUUUUAAAUAAUUUUAUUUUUAAGUUAAAAAGCUUAAAUUUUUUUAAUAGACGAGAAGACCCUAUAGAGUUUUAUUUUUGAUAAAGUUUAAAUUUUUGGAAUUAAUAUAUUUUAAUUUUUAAGAAAAUUUGAUUGGGGUGAUUAAAAAAUUAAAUUAACUUUUUUUACAUAAUUACAUAGAUUUAUGAAUUUUUGAUCCUUUUAAAAGAUUAAAAGAUUAAAUUACCUUAGGGAUAACAGCGUUAUUUUUUUUUAGAGUUCUAAUCGAAAAAAGAGAUUGCGACCUCGAUGUUGGAUUAAAGUUAAUUUUAGGUGCAGAAGCUUAAAUAUUUGGUCUGUUCGACCAUUGAAACUUUACAUGAUCUGAGUUUAAACCGGUGUGAGCCAGGUUGGUUUCUAUCUUUAAAUAGUUUAUAAAUUUUAGUACGAAAGGACCAUAUUUA